Molecule: non-coding RNA, 292 nt
Organism: Cricetulus griseus (Chinese hamster)
Lineage: Eukaryota; Metazoa; Chordata; Mammalia; Rodentia; Cricetidae
Source: Rfam
UGAUGUGAAUCUCAUCUGGCUGCUAAAUGUAUUGGUCACUAGAGUUGUUUUGGCUGAUCUGGCUUGCUAAGAAGGUGUCUCCUUUCCCCUUCACUGCUCCAUGUGUGUCCCUCCCAAAGUUGUGUGGUCAAUUAAAGAACUUUCCCUGGUUAUGAAGAUUAUCUUGUCACUGGUAUAUAACUAGCUGUGCUCCCCUUGCAAAAGCUCCGACCUCUCAAGAUUAACUUCAGAUAGCACUAUAACCAGGAAGCUUAACAAGCAACGCAUUUUCACUCUUGUCCCAUCUACAGGU